ACACAUGAACAUAUUUUUACAUUUGAAAAUCUAGCCAUGCCUUGGCGUUGGUUGAGUCUCACUCUCACGCGGUGAUCCACGUGAAGUGUACUCAAAUCUUUACCUCCAAAGACACCCUCCACAAGGCUCUCCGAUCGAGGUAAGGUAUAUUUGAUUCUGUGCCCCCUCUCUUAGGCUGGUCCACAGAACCUCCACUGUAGGAAUUAUGGAUUAUUUUAUCUACCACCUAAUUUAUAAAAUCUUUAUCUGCAUGACAUGGCAAUUUAUCGUAACCUAGCCUCUCAAGGCUGAAUACACAGUACAAAUAAUUCUAACACUAAAAAUCAGUUUAGCCAUUCAUGCUCAUAUAUUGUCAUAAGCCAUUCAAUUUAAAACCAUAAAAUUACAACACAUCAAGUGGUCUCUAAUUACUCUAUUUUCAAAACCAUAAUUCAAUUUCAAGACAAUUUAUAAAAUCAUUUUAUUUAAAUACAUUUUACUUAUAAAAAAUAAGGAUAUACCAUUUAACUCAUUUUCCAUAAAAUCACAAAAACGAAUAAAAACUACUUUAGAUAAUUAAGACGUUAAUAAGGUUACUCAUAGUAUCAGGAGUAGAAAUACUCCUAGUCUCGGUCUUUGGUGUAAUCUCUUUAUCCUUAUCAAAUAGCUCACCACCUAUACAUCACACAUGACACAAAAUUCAAUAAUUUGUGUCAAUUUGUUAUAAACUAUUUUAGGCUCUCUAAAUCUAAAUGAAUGCAUACGAUGGGGUGCAAAAUGUCCGAUUAAUCGCUUAAAUGUGAUAUUUGACCUAAGUCACACUAUACUCGGUCUAAUCGGCUAAAAUCUCCAAUUUAACUGCAAAUCAAUUCUUUCACUUUCUACACUCCAAUUAUACCUAAAUUACCUCAAUGACUAUGAAUGAGAUUUCAUUUAUCAAGCUCGGGUCAAUAAUCACACAUGUCUAUACGUUGAGCAAAAAUUUGAAUUUUCACACUAAAAUUUCCCAUUUAAUUUCUAGCCUCACCAAACAUCAAAUAUCACCAAAAUAUAAUGAAAUAUCAUCAAUUUCAGCCACAAUAUCCUCCCUAGAAAAUUCGACCAAUGAAGAACACAUAAGGAAUGGGUGAUUUUCAAGCUUGAUUCUUACACUAAACACCAUAAAUCAUUGAAAACAUCCAUAUAACUUAAAAUCCAACCAAACCAUCACCAAACUCUCUCUCUUUAGAAUUCGGCCUUCACGGGUUUCAUCAUGCCAACUCAAUUUUCAGCCAUGGAGAUAAGAAAAUAAAGCAUGGGUAUGCUAGAUCUCAAGCAAAAACUGAAAAAUCAUACCUUAACUUGCUUGAUUCCUUGAAAUUUCCACAAUUUUUCUUGAAAUUCUCUUAUCUAGGGUUUGUUCUAGUUUUUCCUUUCUUUCCUU
RNAcentral lists this long non-coding RNA (1402 nucleotides) under Theobroma cacao (cacao). RNAcentral describes it as "long non-coding RNA (TCAC_LNC006205)". Lineage: Eukaryota; Viridiplantae; Streptophyta; Magnoliopsida; Malvales; Malvaceae. The record is from RNAcentral.